RNAcentral lists this transfer RNA (74 nucleotides) under Bos taurus (domestic cattle). It matches the Rfam family "tRNA". Rfam says of the family: Transfer RNA (tRNA) molecules are approximately 80 nucleotides in length. Their secondary structure includes four short double-helical elements and three loops (D, anti-codon, and T loops). Further hydrogen bonds mediate the characteristic L-shaped molecular structure. tRNAs have two regions of fundamental functional importance: the anti-codon, which is responsible for specific mRNA codon recognition, and the 3' end, to which the tRNAs corresponding amino acid is attached (by aminoacyl-tRNA synthetases). tRNAs cope with the degeneracy of the genetic code in two manners: having more than one tRNA (with a specific anti-codon) for a particular amino acid; and 'wobble' base-pairing, i.e. permitting non-standard base-pairing at the 3rd anti-codon position. RNAcentral also lists the same sequence under 3 other names. The record is from Rfam by way of RNAcentral. Lineage: Eukaryota; Metazoa; Chordata; Mammalia; Artiodactyla; Bovidae.
UUCCGGAUAGUCCAGUGGUUAAGACUCCGCACUUCCAAUGCGGGAGGCCGUGGGUUCAAGCCCUGUUUGGGGAA